UUAUUAAAAUUCAAAUUAUUUAUUUCUGCCUUGUAAAGGUACAGAUAGCGGAGGCGCAGAAAAAGCUGUCAGAUACAGAUUGACAAAGCCGCAGCCCCCUUUCGCUUGGCAGAGCCUUUACAGCGAGACUUUUAAAACAAAGAUAAUUGCACACGGUAAUAACAGUUAUACAAUAAUGAGCAAGUACAAAAGGAAACAAAACAAGAUUAUACAAUAUUUAGACAAUACUCCCAAAAAAGAAAACAGAACCUACAUCCUAACGUACAUAGCACUCAAAGUACUGUUCGACGCAUUGAAGAGGCCAAACUAUUGUAUACAUAAGCUAUAUACAUAUUCCUAUAGAGCUACCAAUCCCUGCAAAAUAUAGAACGCAGAUUUUCAUUGCACGCACGUGCACAGCACACACACCAAAAGGAAACGGCGACGCGCUCACAGGAGGCGCCUGAAAAAAAAGAAGAAAAGGAACAGUGUGGGGAACCGCGGUCGUCUUGCGCGGUCGCAUCUCCCUCUCCCAGAAGGAAUGAAGAGGUUCUUGGAAAGCAGGGACGGGCGAUUCUCUCCGUUAGCAUCAGCUCCCACCAGAGAGGACGGGGCGAGAAAGCGAAGCGGGACUUUCUUUGCUGUCUAUUUUUUCUUCGUCGAGCGUACCACCUGCUCGCAGGGGCGCAGGCGAGUUCCCGCGAAAUGGCGCGGGGGCGCAAGCAGUGGCGCGAGUUGCCGCCAAAUGCUAGCUCUGGAUGCCAGCUCGUUCCGCGUCGCUUGGUAGACUAGUUCGUGCAUUUCUGUUAUCAUGAACUGCGCAUAUAAACGCAAACUACACAAUAGUGACAUGGACAAGAACAGCGCAAGCCCGUUCCAUGCAGUGGAGCCGCCGUAUCUCGCCGUUCAAUAUAUAUGCGUACUCGAAGAAAAAAAAAAAAAAAAAGAGGCUUUAUAUGAGAACGGAUCAAGCGUUCGAGAGUUGGGACAGGGAAAUGAAACACUGGAACGACACUGCUUAAAUUGAAGCACAGUGUGCGAAUGACCUGCUGCGCGCUCGGAACUGUUAUCACCAUUUGGGAAGAAAUCAGAUGAAAAAACAAAACUGUAAAUACCCAGUACUGUACGAUAUACGUCUGGUGCAUUGCAGGUAAGAAUGGAUUGUGUGUGGCACUUCUCCGCAUGUGGACUAGAGUAGAUCUAGGAACAUCAGACAAGAAGAAACGUACGUGAAACCCUGCGGACAGCCCAUAUGCAAGUUGUUCCUCAAUUUUUCUGUUGUUGCAUUUUCGUAGUUUACGUGUAAUACUUUGUCACCGCCGUCUCGCCGUUAUGUAUACCUAUACAUUUGUCUCGUGGCAGUCUGCGUGCUAUUUUGUUUGUGCAUGCAACACUGUGUUGAAUUCAUUUAUCGCACUGCCUGGAUGUUUUUUUUUUUUUUUUUUUGCAAUGAUAUUCUGAGCCAAGUCAGUAAAUCUAUCCUUCCUGUCCUCAUGUUUCCUUGGGCGGCUCUAAAGCGUGAAUCACGUGGCAGAGUGAGUGAGUGAGUGAGUGAAUAAACUUUAUUGUAGGUCCGGCGAGGACGCGAACUCGUCGCGCACCCGGCUAGUCCCACGUCGGGACCGGCAGGUCUAGCCCACCGGCCCGGUCGCGGGCACGCCGGACGGCCAGUUGAAUGCACUAAUUUUCACUGAAAGUGCACAGUAUAUGUUCAUUACAUGUAUGUGCAACGACAAAAUAAUUUUGUGUGUGGCUGUGUCAGGAUUGGGAUUUCUUGCACACGACUGUGAAAAAAGUCCAUUAUGAAUCAUCUGCAUGUUUCACAGAGUUAUUCAUUACUAUAUUAUUUGUUUCUUCGUUUGUUUCAGUUUUUAUGAGCACUGUAACUACCCAAGCUUCACUCUCGACGGUGACAGAGAAAUGCCGGAUGCUAUACCGUUCAGAGCCGAGAACAUGGGAACGGCUGAAAGAGAGCCUCCCGGGCAGUAUGGGAAACUCUCACAGCAGACCAGCUCUGUCCUUUAGCUGUAUCAUACUAUUUCAGGGAACAAAGACUACUUGCAAAUUGUUAACACUGCUGCACUAAAAAAUUAAUGUAUUUUAUGAUUGCAAAAUAAACACCUAAAAAGAGAAAA
Molecule: long non-coding RNA, 2114 nt
Organism: Dermacentor andersoni
Lineage: Eukaryota; Metazoa; Arthropoda; Arachnida; Ixodida; Ixodidae
Source: RefSeq, a predicted model, not a curated record